Malania oleifera is the source of this 106-nucleotide small nucleolar RNA. NCBI's taxonomy places the organism in Eukaryota, Viridiplantae, Streptophyta, Magnoliopsida, Santalales, Ximeniaceae. The record is from RefSeq and is a predicted model, not a curated record.
ACUUGAUGAUGUGGGCAUUUAUAGAGCAGGUCCCUAAAGCGCUCCUAGGUCUCAAAGAAAAUUUCCCCAUCCGUUUGUGCAAAACUUGUGAUUACCCUUCACAAUU